Molecule: long non-coding RNA, 263 nt
Filed under: Parus major (Great Tit)
Lineage: Eukaryota; Metazoa; Chordata; Aves; Passeriformes; Paridae
Description: lncRNA (ENSPMJG00000001974.1)
Source: RNAcentral
GAGGACACCACCAUGGAACAGUGACCAUUGCAGUGACCACCACAGUGACCACCACAGUGACCACCACAGUGACCACCACAGUGACCACAGUGACCACCCUGGGGACAGUUCCUGACCGCAGUGACCAUCAUGAGCCCAUGGCCACAGUGCAGUGACACUGUCCUGUCUGUCCCUCUGUCCGACUGACGCUCCGUCCGACUGUCCCUGCGGUUUUGGGGUCCCCCAGCUCCAUCCCAAUAAACCUGGUGGUGUCACCCCUGUUC